Long non-coding RNA from Magnolia sinica, 145 nucleotides. RefSeq lists it as uncharacterized. The record is from RefSeq and is a predicted model, not a curated record. The transcript has 3 exons. NCBI's taxonomy places the organism in Eukaryota, Viridiplantae, Streptophyta, Magnoliopsida, Magnoliales, Magnoliaceae.
CAGAAAUUUAGCAUUCAAUCAAAUCAGCUAGAACAUCCCAUCCUCCUUGGCUUCUAUGAAAUAUCUCUGCUCCCUUGGAGAUUUGCCAGUCUCAUUCAGUAAUUUGACCAAUCUUAACAUUCUUCACUUACAGAACAACCAAUUC